Long non-coding RNA from Contarinia nasturtii (swede midge), 345 nucleotides. RefSeq lists it as uncharacterized. The transcript is spliced from 3 exons. The record is from RefSeq and is a predicted model, not a curated record. NCBI's taxonomy places the organism in Eukaryota, Metazoa, Arthropoda, Insecta, Diptera, Cecidomyiidae.
GAUUUUGCCUAUCACAAUCCCAGUUUUCAAAUAUUUAAACGAAAUAUGGAUGCUUGUGAAGCAACCAACGGCACUUGCGGUGUGGAUGUUAAGACUAUAAAAGAAAUGCUAUGGCCUCAGUGUGACGAGAUAUUUUCUAAUAUUCAAUUCAAUGGUAGACAUUAUGACAACUGCAACAUUUUUUUCAAACGAAAAAUAGUUCUUGGUGCCGGUGUGUGUUACAUGGCGAACUCAAUUUCCUUCUAUAAUUUAGAUUGGGAUCGAUUGCCAUUGACUUACUCUGCAAACGAUAAAAACAGCAAACUCACUUUUGAUAUAACUCAAAGGAAAAAUUAUAUUUUUGUG